UGCAUGGUCCAAAUUUCUUUUGUCCUUUUUGUCCUUUUUAUUUGUUGGUAAUUUGUCUGUUAUACCAAAUCUUGCUAGCGACAUUUUCGGUCACUGACCGAUGGGCUCACUUAUACAAACUGAAAAUCGAAAUAGUACUCUGUAAUCCUUCAGAUAGAACAAUGUAUAAUACAUGUUGUACAUCAUGCAUACCAAUUAUUGGAUGAAUUACCUCAAUAAAGAACGUUUUGUGUGGAUCUCACUUGUGGGACCAUCUUUCUCUAUCGAUGAAUGGAUACACAUGGAUGUAUGGUUGAAGACUAUACCAUUGGUGCCCCUUUGGAUAAAAGUAGAGCUGGUCUGACCAUUUAAACUUUUCUUUCAUCAUUAUGUGUUUUUACACCUUAUAGAUUUGAUGAACUUUAACCAUUUUUGCUUUUAGCCCUGUUUGAGGGAUACCAUUCCGAUGAUAAAAAUGCAAUUGCCAAAGUAAUUUUCAGUCUGUCCAGAUACAUAAGGAUCCAUCAAAGGGAUGUUUCAGAUCAUCAAAAUAUACAAUCAUUUGUGCUUGGCUUGUCCAUAAUUGCUUGAGCCAAGAAAUGGACCUCAACCACUAAUUAUCCUUAUAUCGAAUGCUUACAAAGAUGCAUUGAGGUCGGAAAGCCUUGAGCUUGUGCAACCCAGCUCUCUUACAAUCCAACACAAGCCUGGAUAGAAGGCGUGCAAUAUCCAAGGUUUCCAUCAGGUGGUUCCCCACUUCUUGAUGCCAUGGUUCAAAAAUCAGGCAAGUCCACUCCAUAUGCUUAUUCAAAGUAGAAGUAACUAUAUAGAGUGUAGGCUCAGGGGUCCACAAUGCUUACAUGGAUGCAUGAUCAAAGCUGCUCAUCAGUUUUAUCCUUGAAGAAAAAGGGAAGAAAAAUCUGUCCACAUAUUUAUAUACAAAAAAUUCCAUAGCUCUUCUCCUCCAUCUGCUAGUUACAGGUGGAGCAUUAGUAACAGAGGGGGGCUUUGCUGCUUCAUAUGAGGAUGGAUAUGGACUUCAUUCGUGUGGUGCUGACAAAGGUCCUCUAUAUGGCAUGAGUUCUAGUUCUUAGGGUGCAUUUAAGAAGUCUCGCCUCGAGCGUCGCUGAAGUCCGUUGAUUUUUUAUUUUUUUUCUUGUACUUUUCCUUGUGUCUCAAUCUGUAAAUUUUCUAUCUAUCAUGUAACCUUUCAUUCUCAGGCCCCCUGUAAAUGAGGCUGGUUGUAAAUGAUUUACAAGUUGUGUUUGAAUGCUAAUUUAAUCUUGUAAAGGUCUUUUGAUUUAGAAGAUUCAGCCUAGUAGAAUUUUUAA
Molecule: long non-coding RNA, 1310 nt
Organism: Magnolia sinica
Lineage: Eukaryota; Viridiplantae; Streptophyta; Magnoliopsida; Magnoliales; Magnoliaceae
Exons: 5
Source: RefSeq, a predicted model, not a curated record